This 25-nucleotide non-coding RNA is filed under the name Mus musculus (house mouse). Lineage: Eukaryota; Metazoa; Chordata; Mammalia; Rodentia; Muridae. The record is from RNAcentral.
CAUGUUAUCAAGUGGUUAAGGCAGA